GAGUCUUAACCGGGCGUUAAGUUGCAGGGUAUAGACCCGAAACCCGGUGAUCUAGCCAUGGGCAGGUUGAAGGUUGGGUAACACUAACUGGAGGACCGAACCGACUAAUGUUGAAAAAUUAGCGGAUGACCUGUGGCUGGGGGUGAAAGGCCAAUCAAACCGGGAGAUAGCUGGUUCUCCCCGAAAGCUAUUUAGGUAGCGCCUCGUGAAUUCAUCUCCGGGGGUAGAGCACUGUUUCGGCUAGGGGGCCAUCCCGGCUUACCAACCCGAUGCAAACUGCGAAUACCGGAGAAUGUUAUCACGGGAGACACACGGCGGGUGCUAACGUCCGUCGUGAAGAGGGAAACAACCCAGACCGCCAGCUAAGGUCCCAAAGUCAUGGUUAAGUGGGAAACGAUGUGGGAAGGCCCAGACAGCCAGGAUGUUGGCUUAGAAGCAGCCAUCAUUUAAAGAAAGCGUAAUAGCUCACUGGUCGAGUCGGCCUGCGCGGAAGAUGUAACGGGGCUAAACCAUGCACCGAAGCUGCGGCAGCGACGCUGAUGCGUUGUUGGGUAGGGGAGCGUUCUGUAAGCCUGCGAAGGUGUGUCGUGAGGCAUGCUGGAGGUAUCAGAAGUGCGAAUGCUGACAUAAGUAACGAUAAAGCGGGUGAAAAGCCCGCUCGCCGGAAGACCAAGGGUUCCUGUCCAACGUUAAUCGGGGCAGGGUGAGUCGACCCCUAAGGCGAGGCCGAAAGGCGUAGUCGAUGGGAAACGGGUUAAUAUUCCCGUACUUGGUGUUACUGCGAAGGGGGGACGGAGAAGGCUAUGUUGGCCGGGCGACGGUUGUCCCGGUUUAAGCGUGUAGGUGUGUGUUCCAGGUAAAUCCGGUUCACUUUAACACUGAGGCGUGAUGACGAGGCACUACGGUGCUGAAGCAACAAAUGCCCUGCUUCCAGGAAAAGCCUCUAAGCAUCAGGUAACAUCAAAUCGUACCCCAAACCGACACAGGUGGUCAGGUAGAGAAUACCAAGGCGCUUGAGAGAACUCGGGUGAAGGAACUAGGCAAAAUGGUGCCGUAACUUCGGGAGAAGGCACGCUGACACGUAGGUGAAGUGAUUUACUCAUGGAGCUGAAGUCAGUCGAAGAUACCAGCUGGCUGCAACUGUUUAUUAAAAACACAGCACUGUGCAAACACGAAAGUGGACGUAUACGGUGUGACGCCUGCCCGGUGCCGGAAGGUUAAUUGAUGGGGUCAGCGCAAGCGAAGCUCCUGAUCGAAGCCCCGGUAAACGGCGGCCGUAACUAUAACGGUCCUAAGGUAGCGAAAUUCCUUGUCGGGUAAGUUCCGACCUGCACGAAUGGCGUAAUGAUGGCCAGGCUGUCUCCACCCGAGACUCAGUGAAAUUGAACUCGCUGUGAAGAUGCAGUGUACCCGCGGCAAGACGGAAAGACCCCGUGAACCUUUACUAUAGCUUGACACUGAACAUUGAGCCUUGAUGUGUAGGAUAGGUGGGAGGCUUUGAAGUGUGGACGCCAGUCUGCAUGGAGCCGGCCUUGAAAUACCACCCUU
This 1548-nucleotide ribosomal RNA is filed under the name Salmonella enterica subsp. enterica serovar Johannesburg. RNAcentral describes it as "partial 23S ribosomal RNA". It matches the Rfam family "Bacterial large subunit ribosomal RNA", at positions 679 to 2207 of the family's 2925-position model. Lineage: Bacteria; Pseudomonadati; Pseudomonadota; Gammaproteobacteria; Enterobacterales; Enterobacteriaceae. The record is from RNAcentral.